UUUGAAAUAAACAAAUAAACAUUGCCCAAGAGAAAAAGUCAAAACGAUAACGAAUACGUACAACAGUACUUGUAGAUAAGAAAUGAAUAAUAUAAACCUGACAUAAGUUAUACAUUUAUAAUGUAAAAAAAUUGUGAAGAUAUGAACGUCACACGUUAUUCGUUUUUUCAUUUGUCAAAGUUGUGAGAACUCUAGUACUUUAGAGAAAUAUGGAUUUAUGGGUUUUGCUGUUGCGACCAAUAGUGUUAUGGGCGUGGCUUACUGGGCAGCGUCGAAUCAUAUAAUCGGAUUUUACCUACCAGUUACCGUGAUCCUUCAAUUUCAGAGAUGGCGUUCAAAAUAAAACCUACGUGUAAUACAAAACUUUUAUCAUUUAGUGUUUAAAAUGAAAAUAAUAUCAAGUCUUACAUGGCUGAGUAGGAUUAGGGACAAACAUGUGUCACGGACUUGCGUCUCUGUCGCUUACGAGUUAGUAAUACAGUAGGUUGAAUUGAUUUUUUCCAGAAAUCAUUGUGAUUGCCAAUAUAAUUAUGUCUAUCAAAUAUUAAAAUCUAAUAAUAUAGUAUAAAAGUGUCAGUAGGUACCUACCUACCCAUGAAUAAUAUUUUUAAAUUACAACAA
This is a long non-coding RNA of Myzus persicae (green peach aphid), 621 nucleotides long. RefSeq lists it as uncharacterized. Lineage: Eukaryota; Metazoa; Arthropoda; Insecta; Hemiptera; Aphididae. The transcript has 3 exons. The record is from RefSeq and is a predicted model, not a curated record.